RNAcentral lists this transfer RNA (74 nucleotides) under Cocculina enigmadonta. RNAcentral describes it as "tRNA-Thr". Lineage: Eukaryota; Metazoa; Mollusca; Gastropoda; Cocculinidae. The record is from RNAcentral.
GCAAUAAAAGCUAAAAUUAAGAAGCAACGGUCUUGUAAGCCGAAGAUUAGAGUUAUUACUAUCUCUUUAUUGCU